Molecule: ribosomal RNA, 175 nt
Filed under: uncultured Escherichia sp.
Lineage: Bacteria; Pseudomonadati; Pseudomonadota; Gammaproteobacteria; Enterobacterales; Enterobacteriaceae
Description: partial 16S ribosomal RNA
Rfam family: Bacterial small subunit ribosomal RNA
Source: RNAcentral
GCUUAUGGGCGCAAGCCUGAUGCAGCCAUGCCGCGUGUAUGAAGAAGGCCUUCGGGUUGUAAAGUACUUUCAGCGGGGAGGAAGGGAGUAAAGUUAAUACCUUUGCUCAUUGACGUUACCCGCAGAAGAAGCACCGGCUAACUCCGUGCCAGCAGCCGCGGUAAUAAGGGUUCGA